ACGGAGGGCAGCAGUGGGGAAUAUUGCACAAUGGGGGAAGCCCUGAUGCAGCGACGCCGCGUGAGUGAAGAAGUAUUUCGGUAUGUAAAGCUCUAUCAGCAGGAAAGAAAAUGACGGUACCUGACUAAGAAGCCCCGGCUAACUACGUGCCAGCAGCCGCGGUAAUACGUAGGGGGCAAGCGUUAUCCGGAUGUACUGGGUGUAAAGGGAGCGUAGACGGUAAGGCAAGUCUGAAGUGAAAUGCCAGGGCUCAACCCUGGAACUGCUUUGGAAACUGUCCUACUAGAGUGCAGGAGAGGUAAGUGGAAUUCCUAGUGUAGCGGUGAAAUGCGUAGAUAUUAGGAGGAACACCAGUGGCGAAGGCGGCUUACUGGACUGUAACUGACGUUGAGGCUCGAAAGCGUGGGGAGCAAACAGGAUUAGAUACCCUGGUA
This 434-nucleotide ribosomal RNA is filed under the name uncultured Lachnospiraceae bacterium. RNAcentral describes it as "partial 16S ribosomal RNA". It matches the Rfam family "Bacterial small subunit ribosomal RNA", at positions 341 to 792 of the family's 1533-position model. The record is from RNAcentral. Lineage: Bacteria; Bacillati; Bacillota; Clostridia; Lachnospirales; Lachnospiraceae.